Molecule: long non-coding RNA, 872 nt
Filed under: Nicotiana tabacum (common tobacco)
Lineage: Eukaryota; Viridiplantae; Streptophyta; Magnoliopsida; Solanales; Solanaceae
Description: long non-coding RNA (NTAB_LNC011562)
Source: RNAcentral
CAGUUAUGUUUAACGUUUCUAAGUUUGAUCUGUUUAAUAUGUUCUUCUGCGGAUAUUUCUUAUGGUUCUUGAGUUGUCUGAUCUGAUUUAUGAGUUAAUUUGAUAGUCCAUUGCAGGUUUCUUCUGUGGUUGAUCAUAAUACUUGAUAAAUGAAAAGAUCUUGAUACAUCUUCGUUCUGAUGCAACAUGGAGGGUCCAUUUACAUCGUGCAAGCUUGAGCACACUUUAUGUUGCCUAGCAAUUUGUUAAUUUAUUGGUGAGUUCUCUAAAGAAUUUAUCUAUGCACGUACGAAAUAUACGAUCCCCGAACAUCUAUUUUUUUACUUUUUAAUGUUUAUGGCUACUAUAUAUAAUGCUUCCUGUUAAUUUGAUUCUAUUGCACAACAUCUUAUCUGCAGAGAUAUCCUUAGGUGGUCGAAAACUUUAGUUAGCUAGGGUGGUCGGCAUGUAAACUUUACCAGUGAGACAGGAGUUGCAGACCUGUUCUUGAGACUUGCUCAUUCUCUUCAAGAGUAUCCAACAAAGGGACAAGCCUUAGAAUUCAUGAAAGAAGACGAGCCUCCAAUCUCAAUGAUAAUUUACCUGUAAAUUUAAGAUUAGAAAUUGUAAAAAGCAAUCAAAGUCAUGGAAGUUUUAAGCCUCAUUUUUUGAAGGGUAAUUUUUUCAUUUCUAUGUUUUUCUCAUCUUCCUUCAAAGUCAGUAUGCAGAGUCUCUCUAGAUUAUAGAACUCAAAAAAUUAAGAUGAGAGUCAUCUUUGUUUUAUUUAUAUAUAUUAGGACAUUUCUUUGUGCCAUUACGUAAUCAUGGCUUUGCUAAUUUAUUCUGCAGUUAAUUGAUCUGAUUGUAGCUAUAUCUACUUUGUGGUGUAUUUU